Non-coding RNA from Myotis brandtii (Brandt's bat), 79 nucleotides. NCBI's taxonomy places the organism in Eukaryota, Metazoa, Chordata, Mammalia, Chiroptera, Vespertilionidae. The record is from Rfam.
UGGAUCAAUGAUGAUACCUGCUGGCAUAUGAGUCACGGAUAAUGAAUAAUAUGUGUCUGAAAAUGGGGUAUUUCUCUAU